This 497-nucleotide ribosomal RNA is filed under the name uncultured bacterium. RNAcentral describes it as "partial 16S ribosomal RNA". It matches the Rfam family "Bacterial small subunit ribosomal RNA", at positions 28 to 507 of the family's 1533-position model. The record is from RNAcentral.
GAUGAACGCUGGCGGCGUGCCUAAUACAUGCAAGUCGAACGGACAGACCAUGAUCUUGCUCCUCUGACGUUAGCGGCGGACGGGUGAAUAACACGUGUAUACCCUACCUAUAAUACGGGGAUAACUUCGGGAAACCGGAUCUAAUACCGUAUAAUAUAUUGAACCGCGGGGGUCGAUAGUGAAAGACGGUGUUGGUGGCACGUAUAGAUGGAUCUGGGCCUCAUUGGAUAGUUGGUAAGUUAACGGCUUACCAAGGCAACGCGGCGUAGCCGACCUGAGAGACUGAUCGGCCACACUGGAACUGAGCCACGGUCAAGACUACUAAGGGAGGCAGCAGUCGGGAAUGUUCGGCAACGGGCGAAAGCUUGACGGAGCAAGGCGGAGUGAGUGACGACGGCCUUCGGAUCGUAAAACUCUGUUAUGAGGGAAGAACCGAUGUGGCCGUAAAUAUAGAGGUCUUGACGGUAAUUAAUAAGAAAGCACCGGCUAACUACGUG